CCUACGGGAGGCAGCAGUGAGGAAUAUUGGUCAAUGGGCGGGAGCCUGAACCAGCCAAGCCGCGUGAGGGAAGAAGGUACCGCGCAUUGUAAACUUCUUUUGUCAGGGAACAAAAUCGGGCACUAGUCCCCGGCCGAGGGUACUUGAAGAAAAAGCAUCGGCUAACUCCGUGCCAGCAGCCGCGGUAAUACGGAGGAUGCGAGCGUUAUCCGGAUUUAUUGGGUUUAAAGGGUGCGCAGGCGGCCUGUUAAGUCAGCGGUAAAAGCCCGGGGCUCAACCCCGGCGAGCCGUUGAAACUGGCGGUCUGGAGUUGGAGAGAGGUACGCGGAAUGCGCGGUGUAGCGGUGAAAUGCUUAGAUAUCGCGCAGAACCCCGAUUGCGAAGGCAGCAUACCGGCGCCGAUCUGACGCUGAGGCACGAAAGCGUGGGUAUCGAACAGGAUUAGAUACCCGAGUAGUC
RNAcentral lists this ribosomal RNA (459 nucleotides) under uncultured bacterium. RNAcentral's name for it is "partial 16S ribosomal RNA". It matches the Rfam family "Bacterial small subunit ribosomal RNA", at positions 338 to 795 of the family's 1533-position model. The record is from RNAcentral.